RNAcentral lists this ribosomal RNA (243 nucleotides) under uncultured bacterium. Its description in RNAcentral is "partial 16S ribosomal RNA". It matches the Rfam family "Bacterial small subunit ribosomal RNA", at positions 524 to 776 of the family's 1533-position model. The record is from RNAcentral.
UACGGGGGGAACGAGUGUUAUUCGUAAUGAUUGGGCGUAAAGGGCGUGUAGACGGUUUUACAAGUUUAAGUUUAGUCUAAUUAGUUAGGCUAACUGUUAUACUGUGAUCUAGAAUUAUAUAGAGGUUGGUGGAAUUUUGUAAGUAGGGGUGAAAUGCGGUACUUCCAGGAGACCAUCAACAGGCGGAGGCGACCAAUCAUAUAUAAUUGACGUUGAGGCGCAAAAACGUAGGGAGCAAACAGG